GAUGAACGCUGGCGGCGUGCCUAAUACAUGCAAGUCGAGCGAACAGAUGAGGAGCUUGCUCCUCUGACGUGAGCGGCGGACGGGUGAGUAACACGUGGAUAACCUACCUAUAAGACUGGGAUAACUUCGGGAAACCGGAGCUAAUACCGGAUAAUAUAUUGAACCGCAUGGUUCAAUAGUGAAAGACGGUUUUGCUGUCACUUAUAGAUGGAUCCGCGCCGCAUUAGCUAGUUGGUAAGGUAACGGCUUACCAAGGCGACGAUGCGUAGCCGACCUGAGAGAGUGAUCGGCGACACUGGAACUGAGCCACGGUCCAGACUCCUAAGGGAGGCAGCAGUAGGGAAUCUUCCGCAAUGGGCGAAAGCCUGACGGAGCAACGCCGCGUGAGUGAUGAAGGUCUUCGGCUCGUAAAACUCUGUUAUUAGGGAAGAACAAAUGUGUAAGUAACUAUGCACGUCUUGACGGUACCUAAUCAGAAAGCUACGGCUAACUACGUG
This 497-nucleotide ribosomal RNA is filed under the name uncultured bacterium. RNAcentral's name for it is "partial 16S ribosomal RNA". It matches the Rfam family "Bacterial small subunit ribosomal RNA", at positions 28 to 507 of the family's 1533-position model. The record is from RNAcentral.